UGUUUUGCAGAUGUCUAAAAAGAAUAUCUUUCCACAUAAAUAUUUCCGUUUCCACAAUUAUAAUUAUAUUGAUCUUGCAUAAUAAUUUUUCCAUUGAGCAUUAUUUUAGCACUAGUUGGCGUAAAAUGAGCUACUUGGAGGAAUAUAAAAAUGGUGAUGUUGAAGCAAUACAACAUUUUGAAUAUUGCUCUUAAAUGACAUUGCUUAAUUUUCAAAAUUUAAAUUGAUUUUAUACUUUAUCAGAUGACAUGGGUAGUAACAUCAGAAGGAUUUAGAUCUAGGGUUGUUUGGGUUAUAAUUGUUUAAAAUACAUCUUUUUUGCUUUGUUGCAGAAACAAGCAGCAUGUCAGGAGAAGAUAGAACAGUUAAAUGCCUCAUC
Molecule: long non-coding RNA, 379 nt
Organism: Perognathus longimembris pacificus (Pacific pocket mouse)
Lineage: Eukaryota; Metazoa; Chordata; Mammalia; Rodentia; Heteromyidae
Exons: 2
Source: RefSeq, a predicted model, not a curated record